This 120-nucleotide ribosomal RNA is filed under the name uncultured bacterium. Its description in RNAcentral is "partial 16S ribosomal RNA". It matches the Rfam family "Bacterial small subunit ribosomal RNA", at positions 29 to 138 of the family's 1533-position model. The record is from RNAcentral.
AGCGAACGCUGGCGGCGUACUUAACACAUGCAAGUCGAACGAGGAUCACCACGUGAGCAAUCAUGAGGUGGUUCUAGUGGCGCACGGGUGAGUAACACGUGGGCAACCUGCCCUCGAGUC